This 265-nucleotide ribosomal RNA is filed under the name uncultured bacterium. RNAcentral's name for it is "partial 16S ribosomal RNA". It matches the Rfam family "Bacterial small subunit ribosomal RNA", at positions 793 to 1055 of the family's 1533-position model. The record is from RNAcentral.
GUCCACGCCGUAAACGAUGUCUGCUAGCCGUCGGGAUCCUUGAGGUCUCGGUGGCGCAGCUAACGCGAUAAGCAGACCGCCUGGGGAGUACGGCCGCAAGGUUAAAACUCAAAUGAAUUGACGGGGGGGCCCGCACAAGCGGUGGAGCAUGUGGUUUAAUUCGAUGCAACGCGAAGAACCUUACCAGGUCUUGACAUCCAGCGAACUGCCGAGAGAUCGGCGGGUGCCUUCGGGAGCGCUGAGACAGGUGCUGCAUGGCUGUCGU